Molecule: ribosomal RNA, 494 nt
Filed under: uncultured bacterium
Lineage: Bacteria
Description: partial 16S ribosomal RNA
Rfam family: Bacterial small subunit ribosomal RNA
Source: RNAcentral
GACGAACGCUGGCGGCGUGCUUAACACAUGCAAGUCGAACGGAAAGGCCUGCUUUCCCUUGUGGAUUGCGGGUACUCGAGUGGCGAACGGGUGAGUAACACGUGAGUGAUCUGCCCCCAACUUGGGUAUAAGCCUGGGAAACUGGGUCUAAUUCCCGAUAGGACUGCAGGGUGGUGCCUGUGGUGGAAAACGAUUUUCUAGUGGUUGGGGAUGAGCUCGCGGCCUAUCAGCUUGUUGGUGGGGUAAUGGCCUACCAAGGCGGCGACGGGUAGCCGGCCUGAGAGGGUGGACGGGCACAUUGGGACUGAGAUACGGCCCAGACUGAUACGGGAGGCAGCAGUGGGGAAUAUUGCACAAUGGGCGGAAGCCUGAUGCAGCGACGCCGCGUGGGGGAUGACGGCCUUCGGGUUGUAAACUCCUUUCGACCGCGAGGAAGCCACCUGGUUGGAAGGGUGGUGACGGUAGUGGUAGAAGAAGCACCGGCUAACUACGUG